RNAcentral lists this ribosomal RNA (435 nucleotides) under uncultured bacterium. RNAcentral describes it as "bacterial SSU rRNA". It matches the Rfam family "Bacterial small subunit ribosomal RNA", at positions 355 to 787 of the family's 1533-position model. The record is from RNAcentral.
UGAGGAAUAUUGGUCAAUGGGCGGGAGCCUGAACCAGCCAAGCCGCGUGAGGGAGGAAGGCCCUAUGGGUCGUAAACCUCUUUUGUCAGGGAACAAAAGCGAGUAUGUAUACUAGUCUGAGUGUACCCUGAAGAAAAAGCAUCGGCUAACUCCGUGCCAGCAGCCGCGGUAAUACGGAGGAUGCGAGCGUUAUCCGGAUUUAUUGGGUUUAAAGGGUGCGUAGGCGGCGGUGCAAGUCAGCGGUAAAAGCCCGGGGCUCAACCCCGGCGAGCCGUUGAAACUGCAGUGCUAGAGAAGGCGAGAGGUACGCGGAAUGCGCAGUGUAGCGGUGAAAUGCUUAGAUAUUGCGCAGAACUCCGAUUGCGAAGGCAGCGUACUGGCGCCUGACUGACGCUGAGGCACGAAAGCGUGGGGAUCGAACAGGAUUAGAUACCC